This 375-nucleotide ribosomal RNA is filed under the name uncultured bacterium. RNAcentral's name for it is "bacterial SSU rRNA". It matches the Rfam family "Bacterial small subunit ribosomal RNA", at positions 521 to 896 of the family's 1533-position model. The record is from RNAcentral.
UAAUACGUAGGGGGCAAGCGUUGUCCGGAUUUACUGGGUGUAAAGGGUGCUCAGGUGGAUUUUUAAGUCAGAGGUGAAAUCCCAAAGCUUAACUUUGGAGCUGCCUUUGAUACUGAAAGUCUUGAGUUUGAGAGAGGGCAAUGGAAUAUCUGGUGUAGCAGUGAAAUGCGUAGAUAUCAGAUAGAACACCAAUGGCGAAGGCAGUUGCCUGGCUCAAUACUGACACUAAAGCACGAAAGUGUGGGGAGCAAACAGGAUUAGAUACCCUGGUAGUCCACACCCUAAACGAUGAAUACUAGAUGUUGGUCUUUUUUAAGAUCAGUAUCCAAGCUAACGCAUUAAGUAUUCCACCUGGGAAGUACAAUCGCAAGGUUG